GGCGGUGGUGGUGGUGGUGGAGGGAGGAGGGUGGGUUGAGUACAACAAGUGUAGGAAGACGGGUUGCAGCAGCAGUUGGUGGAAGGAGGAGAGGGUUGGUGGUGGUUGUGGUGGUGGUUGCGGUGGUGAGAGGCCAUUGAGUUAGUUAGUGUGACGGUGGAGGUGGAAGAAGAGUGUUUGAGGCUGUCUUCAACUUUUGAAGGGUUUUUGGUUUUGGAAAUUGGAAUCAAAACUAUGUGCUUUGGGUAACUUCAGCGACCAUUAAUCACUGUCAGUGUCAAAGUGAACUUUUAUUUACAUCCGUCAAACUACAAAGUUAUACUGUUUGGUUUUUUUCUACCGUUUUACUCUUUCUAAUAGGAGAAAGAAUUAUAUAUUAAAAAUUGGACAAAAAAAAAAUAUAUGUAUUGAUUGUGUAUGAAUUUGAUAUAUUAUUAUCAUUUAUUAGUCUGAUAAGGUAAUCUAAUUAAAAGAGUAAAGUACAUAAACAUUCACUGAGUUUUAAUAAAAAAAUUUAAAACUAUACAAAUCACCCAUAGUUAUAUACAUAUAUUAUAAUAAUUACCCUAUAGAGAGAUAAAUGUAAUUUCUUAAAUAAUAAAUGGAGACGAGUAUAAUUAAAAUAAACAAAAUAUGAUACAUUGUGAGGACAAAUCCAAAAAGUAUAAGAGUUGAUGUCUAUUCAUUAUUUUGGUUAAGUACAAUAUAAUAUAAGAGUGAUUUAAACACCUCAUUAGAAUUAUUGAUAUAGUUUGUAACGAAUAAAAAAUAAUGAAUUGACAUCAUUUAGAAUUAUCAAUGCAUUGGUGACUCAUUAUGAUUUUGAAUUACACCAAAUGGAUGUGAAAACCGCCUUUCUAAAUGGGGAUUUAACAGAAAAUUCUAUAUGGAUCAACCGAUGGGAUUCAUUGAGAAAGGAAAAGAACACAUGGUAUGUAAACUAAAGAAAUCAGUAUAUGGACUUAAACAAGCUUCGCAACAGUGAUAUCUUAAGUUUAAUGAUAUUGUUGUAUCCUUUGGGUUUAAGGAAAACAUUGUUUAUCGAUGUAUAUACCUAAAGGUCAAUGAGAGUAAAUUUAUUUUUUUGGUUCUAUAUGUUAAUGACAUCUUGCUUGUAACUAAUGAUCUUGGUCUUUUAAAUGAGACUAAGAUGUUUCUCUCCAAAAAAAUUGAAAUGAAAGAUAUGGGGAGGCAAACUAUGUGAUUGAAAUAAAAAUAUUUUGCGAUAGAUCACAAGGAAUUUUAGGCUUGUCUUAGAUAGCACAUAUUAACAAAAUUUUAAAGAGAUUCAGAAUGCAUAAAUGUUCAGCAUCUCCCAUUCCAAUUCAGAAAAGAGACAAGUUUGGUAUGAUGCAAUAUCCAAAGAAUGAUUUAAAACGGAAGCAAAUGGAAGAAAAUUCUUAUGCAUUUAUAUUUGGGGGUUUAAUGUAUGCUCAGACUUGUAUGGGACAAGAUAUUAGUUUUGCAGUUGGAAUGUUACAAAAAUACUAGAGUAAUUUUGAUAUAGAACAUUGGAAAGCUGAAAGAAAGUUCUGAGAUACUUACAAUAGACUAUCAUUGCUGCAUUCACUAUGGAAGCUGAAUUUGUGGCAUGCUUUGAGGCCACAGUUCAUGCUAAAUGGUUACAAAACUUUAUUUAGGACUUGGGGUUGUCGAUAGUAUUGUCAAGCUGCUGAAAAUUUAUUGUAAUAAUUCUGCAGCAGUCUUCUUUUCUAAAAAUGACAAGUAUUCCAAAAGUGCUAAAUAUAUGGAGGUGAAAUACUUUACCGUUAAAGAAGAAGUUCAAAAACUUAGAGUGUCAAUUGAUAUAUUAGCAUUAACCUUAGGAUUGCAGACCCUUUGACAAAAAGGUUACUGCCCAAAAUAUUUACUAAUCAUGUAAAAGAUACGGGUAUUGUGUCUGCAAAUGAAUGUUGAACAUUAUGUUAUAAAGUCUCAAUAUUUUGACACUUCGAGCUCGUUAAUAUUUAAGUUUUUUAUUAAUAGUUUAUUUUCACACUUAUGUACAAAUGUGAGAAUGAUAAUAUUGAAAAUAAAAUUUUCUUUCUAAAUAACAUUAUUAUUCCCUUUAAUGUGUCAUGUUAGGAUUAAGGCUAAUAUAGUAGUUCAUGGAAUAAACUAUAUCGAAUAAAUGACGUACAACUGUCAUGACUCUUAUUAGUUCUUGUUCUUAAUCAUGAUUUUUAAUGUAAUGAAUAUGGAAAACAUAUUCUGAUUAUGCACAUUAUGUUAGAUAUAUAUAAUAUAUUUACUUGUAUUGUCACGUGAGACAAGUGAGAGAAUGUAAGAAUGUCUCUUUGAUAUGAAGGGAUAUACUAUUUUGUUUUGAAUAGUAUAACUCUUGAAUUAGAGAGUUGUGAAUGAAAUGGUAAGACUCUUGGAAAAGAGUCUAUAUAUGUAUAGUGUUUGAUGGUAGCAUUAUACUCAUCAGAAAAAGGACUUGAAACAUUGUCUUUAUCUCUGUCCAGAAAGUUUGUCUCUAUCAGCCAUCAAUAAAGAAAGACACAGAAAGGAAGGGAAAGAGAUAGAAAAGUUUCUCUAUUGACCAAGAACAAUACACCAUAACAAGGAGAAUCAUGUCGCCAUGGAUAAAAGUAACCUAUAAUCAUUCUUACUAUAUGAAAACUAUGAAUUCUUAAGACUCAUUUACAAAUUAUUUUCAUCAUAAAAUUUACAGUUUUUUGCAAGUAUUUCCAUUAUUAUUUCUGGUGAUUAAGGGGAGUCUUCUAAUAUUGAUGAGUUGUUACCUUUGCUAUAAUCCAUAGUUAUAAAAACAAUACCGUAUCGGCCGGUUCAACCGGAAAACCAGUGAACCGGACCCCUAACCGGUACGGUACAGGUGUUGAACCGGCCAAGUAUCAAAACCGGUCAAAAACGGUCAAAACCGGUGAACCGGCCGGUAUUUUACUAAACCGGUUCGUUUAUACACACAUAUAUAUAUAUAUAUAUUUUAAAAAACUUAAAAAAUUAAAAACUCAUUACAAGGUGACCCAUCUUUCCAACUCUUCUUCAACACUUGAAGGCACAUGCUUCCAAAGUAUACUUAGAUUACACAUUUUGAUUCCUAACAUUCAUGUGUAAUCUUAGUGACAUUUGUGUUUGGAGUACUGUCUGAUAGGGUUUGGUAGAAAAAUAUAAUAUUCAUAUAAGAUAACUUUGACUUCUUGAUGUUAAAUGUUAAAACUCUAAAUUUAUUUGUUUUAUAGAGUGAGUUGUGAAGUUAUGUCAUUUAUUUAUAUUUUGUGGUUGUUAAGUGAUACUUUUGGAUUGAUAUAUGUUUUUUAAUUUAGACUUUGAAUUUGUUAAAGACUUAAAGUUGUUUAUUUAUGUGAAUUUUGAGUAGAUUAUAAAUAUGGAGUAUAAAUUUGAGUAUCUACCUAUUUGGAAUUUUUUUGUUAUAAGUUUAUAUAUAUAUAAAUAUAAUUAGGUAUGUCCGGUUUAAUUGGCAUGCGGUUUAAUUACUGAACCACUGGUUGAACCAUUGAACGAUUAUACCAGUACCCUGGCCGGUUUGAUAACCGGUACGGUUUUAACAACACUGAUGACAAUACUCUUUGCAUGAUGGACUUUAAUCCUAGCUCUCUUACUGUAACUAAUGAAACUAUGGUAAGAAUCCCUGACCUUCUGCACAUUUAAUGGCUUCCUGAUACAAGUCUUGGCCUUCUGUAAAUUAUCCUGGAUCUAAGCACAAAUAAUAUAUUCUUUGUGAUUCGCUUACGAGUUAAAUUUUGAAGGAAAAAGAAAUGAAAUAAAGACUCCAAAGCCAUGAAAUAUACUACACUUUUGAGAUGACUCUGAAACCUUAUAUUUUCUUUUAUACCCGUCUGAAAUCCAACUCGCAAAUAUACUAUUGGUAUUCUUCAAUCUCAAACAUCUCCUAGCUACAUCCAAUGAAACUGAAGGCAAUAAAAAACAUAGCGUGCUAGUUUCUCUAUCCUCUCAAUCUCUGCCAAACUUAACAGUUGGAACAGGUGACCAAAAAUUCAUCCUGAAAUAUUGUGAGUAAUAUUCUUGUGUAAAUUUCUGCUAAAUACUAUUAGAAGUGGUGUGUAAAGACUUGGUUAGCAUAAAAUGUUUCAAUAAUCUCCUAUAUUUCUAUAUCGUAUAGAGAGAGCAUCAGCAUUUGCUGCACAAAAUCUUGUAACGUCUUGCAUUCUCAUAGCAAUAAAAAGUGAAUUCACACUUGCACUUCAGUUGGUGGCAAUGUAGCACACAGCACAAAAUCUUUGUUAAAUAGAUGUAUAUUGAAUAGAGAAUAAUGUAUUAAAUACAUAAUUUUUUUUAUAAUCGAGUGGAUUUAAGUAGAUAAGUUAUUUCCUAAUAUAAGGUGAUAAUUUAUUCUCUAUUAAAUAUAUUUAACAAGUAUAUAACAACUUUAAGAAUGUAUAUUAAUAAGUUUAACAAUUAUAUAAUAAAAUGUGGAGAUUGAUAAUAUUUGAUUGUUGAAGGAUUUAUAACCAAAUUAUGUUGAUUAUUGAGAAAAUUAAUGACCCAAUUAUGUUGAUUAUUAAUGGAAUCCAUUGAUUGAUCUACGAAUAAAUAAACAAAUUCUAGUCAUAUAUGUUGUGGCCAAACUUUUGAUCAUGAAUUAAAAGUUUGAAACGAUUAAUGUCAUAUUAAAAAAAACAUUAUCAUGUAUUUGCCAAUGCUGCAUUUGCCUAAAAUUCUUUGUUAAGGCAUAUCAGGUUGUCCAUAAAAAUCUUCACUCGGUAAAUAAAACAUCUCAACAUUAUAGUUUUGACAUUUCUGAUCUUAGUAAUCUGGUUUAGAAAAUGAGUAUCUGCAAUAGCAUACCCCUUUGCACCUUGUUUUUCAUUAUUAGAUCAGAAGCACCCAACAUAGGAUUUCAUAUACUACAAAGCAACAACUUAGAACAUAUGCAGUAAAAGUGUUUGGGACUCAUGAACAGCUCAAGUUAUUACAGUACAUCCUAUAUUCAAAAUUGACAAAAAAAAAUGUCAGAGUUAUAACAGACAUAGAAACAAAAUUACUCAUUCUAACAAACUAACACCGGUUUCAAUUUUAUUUAUGAUGAAAUGCCACUCAUCUUUAAAUAAUACAUAAACUUGUCCUCCAAAAAAUUGUAGCAGAUAUUAAAAGAGCAAAUAUUGCUUUCCCAGAGAUACAUCACUGUUAGUUCCGCAACAGAUGAAUGCAGAGUUAGGCAAACACAAAUUUAUAAUUUGUCCUCUCAACAGAACACAAGAGUAAUGCUCAAAACCUGCAGUAAUUCCAAUCAUAAAGGUGUGAAGAUAUGCAGCAAAAGGAAAAUCAGACACAUGAUGCAGAACAAAGAAGCAAUUUGAAAAAAUGAACAUUUCCUAUUCAUGCUACAGCAACAAUAGCUUCCAACUUACAUCUCUUAGAAGAGUUCAGUCUCAUAAAAAGCAAUCUAAUCUUGUUAAAAUGUUUCCUUACAUUUUCUUUAUCCGCAGAGACCGGACAUCAGCCCCACUAACCCCGUUUUCAAUCUCUUUUGUGCUUUCUCUUGCACAUGAUCAAAUUAUAGAGAUAUAAGCAAAUUGUGCACCAUGAUAAUUACCCUUUUCUAUUAUUAGUCAGGCAUAGUAAAAAUUGGGACUCGUUCAUGUCCAAGCAGCCCAAACAUGAUGACAUUAUAAAUUCACUUGAAUGUAGAUAGUGAAAUAUAUAGAAUUGAAGUAGUUAAGUACUUUUACCAACUGCACCAGAAUCAUCAGAAAUACAUGGUGGAUUAAAUUUCAAAUGUAGUACAACUUCAGACAGGAUUGUUUCAAUACUAGAAGGGUCAAGCCAAUCUUUGAGUGAUUACAAGUAUGAAUAGGAUCAAUACUCAGACCAAAUUAUUCUAGACAACUUAAAUAUUCUCUAGCCAAUAGCAACCGCGAAUCUAGGAACGCGGUCUACAGAUACACAUGCAUAACAAUAUAUGUGCAUAUGUCAGUCUCAAAAUAUCAAUUCAUUAAGGGAGAGGAAAGAAAUUAUCUAAAAAUAAAAAAAAUUAGGGUUUUUAACCCAAAAUUGAGCCUAAAAAAAACCCGCCAUGGCCUGCUAUUUCUUUCAUAAUACCUAGCCAGGAAAGUACAUUCACCCCCUUUUCACCAUGGUACUUCCACCGUCAUGACACCUCUUUCGUGUAAAUGACAAACAAGGCGAUAUGGCAAAAUUUUAGAAAUAGUUAAUAGCUAUGGCACCACCGUGGCGGCUAUUUAACACCACUAAUUGUAACUUUCAUCUAAGACUGAUUUUACGCGACUCCUUUAAAAAGUAUAGAUGUAAACUUCAAAACCCAAUUCCGGUCAGUAUAGUUUAUCCUAGUUUUUGAGUUAAUCCAUAUAUUUUAGAAACCCUUUUAAGUGAACACUCUUGGCAGUAAUGGUUAUGAAAUUAGUCACUGCUAUUAGACAAAAGUGAUAACAUGGUUAAACUUUAUCUUAGAUAGGUAAAGGAAGUUGAUGUGUCACCACAACUACAUAACGGCAUGUCAACCUAAAGGAUAAAAUUUUACAUUCAUCUAAACAUAGCUAUACACAGUCGGUCAUAAAAGCUGAAGCUUAUGUUAAGCGGUCGACAACCAACAUAAAACUCGGCCGAAUCUUUAUGAUAUGAUGUACACAUAAGAGCUAACCUAUCAUCAGAUGUAAAAUAUUUUAACCUUCCCAUUCCACGUUAACCACACCAUCCAAACAUGUCCUUAAAAACUUGAUAAAGACAUGACAGUUACAAAUUGAUAACCGCCUUAAGUCAUGAAUUAUGCAAAUAUAAAACAAAUUAUUCACUCAAUUUCUCCAUCAUCAAACAAAUCAUCAUUCAACUAUUAACCAUAAAAUAAAAUAAAACAGUGAAAUUGAAAUUGACAGUUACCAUGAUUUGGAGGGGUAUUUAGGGGUUUUCAAUCUCCAUGACGCUCCUAAGCGGAGGCGCGUGGAGAGAGUAAACAACGGCCUGCCGUUUUGCAACAUCGAGCUGAGACUUUCCGUCAGAGAAGGAUGAGGAAAUCGAAGAAGUCUCGGAAAGGUUACGGUUUUGAUGAAACGCAUCGAUGGUGCGUCGUUUGGUGUAUUCCCUGAUGUUGUAAUCUGGGAAAUUGCGUGCCACGCGUAAGAGGGAGCGAAAGAGAGAAAGAAUUUCUGGUCGAGAAGGUGCCAAUGUCAUCGUUACAGACUCUCUUUCGCAACUCGAUCAACAGAAGAAGUUUUGGCCAAUCCUAACCUAAAUCUUUUUUGUGUUUUUUGGUUUUAUUAACCUGCUAUAUAGGGAGGGUAUAAGGAUUUGUUGUCCCAAAUCUUGUCUCAAACUCUAUUCUAGACCAAUUAUACCAUGCCAUGUCAGUUAAAAUUAAUUAAAUAUUCAUAACUUUAUCAGUUUUAUUUCAUUAUGAUUGGUUAGAGAUGUGGUUGAGGGAUAGCAGAUCCUCAUCCAUAUAGAGGAAAGCUGUCAAAAUGAGCUAUGGGUUCGGGUAGGUCUACUUUGAGUCCAGGUUCACUUUGAGUCGGCCGAAUGAUAGAAAGAGGUUUGGCGGCUUAUCAGAGGCUUAGUACCUGAUUUAUGAUAGAUUAUGUUUAACUAUUUUUUAAAAAAAAUAAGUUAAGCUGAAAGUUCUUAAAAAGCUUAUUUAAUCUAAAUAGAUUAUCUACAAACUUUUUAAAAAGUCAUUAAGUCUAAACAUGUUAUUUUAUAUAAUUUUCUUUGGUACUAGUAAGAAUAUUUCAUCACCUUAUGAGUAAGAAAUUAAUUAUUUUUAAGAUUCGUAAUUACCUUUUCCAAUACAUUGUUGGUCUAUAUAAUUUAUUAUGUAUCUAUAUUAAUUAUUUUAUAUCAUAUAUAUACAAUAUAUAUAUAAAUCAUAUUGCAAUGUGGUAUUGAAAAUUUGAGAUGUCAGAUUUGUAUAUUUGUCUUAGAUUAUAUCAAGCUUUUAAAUGAACUAAUAAAUGAUAUCAAACUUUUAAACAGAUAUAGACCUCCAAAAAAACUUAUCCAUAAAAAUAAGUCAGACUUAGAUUGUAAUAUGUUAAAUAUAGUAGGUAUUUUCAACACAUAGUUUGGUCUGACUUGACAUGUUUCAUCUUUAAGUUCUACAAAAAAAAUAUCUAACUUGUAUUCAAGUGAUUAAAAUAAUGUUUAAAAUUGUUCAAGAGGCUUAUGAAUUUACCAGAGUUGACCCGAAAAACUUUUCUAAUAAAUAAAAUAAAUUCAAUAUGCAUAAGCAUUUGACAUUUCCAACUCCAUAAUAUUAAUAUUUUGAUAAUUUUAUAUUUCAAAUUUAGACAUAAAAAAUAGUACAAUAGUAAUGACCAAACAACAAUAAUAGAAAACAAAAAUAAAAGAAGUAGCAAAAGACAGAAACAAAAAUAAAUUAUAAUUCCAUAUCAUAUGUAAUGAUGAGAUUAUAAUCCACAACCACAAUAUUAUAAUUAUAUACAUGAUAUGAUCCACAAUUGAUACAAUUUCAAAUUUCUAAAGAACUUUUUGGUAGUAAGACUUGGUUAAGAUUAAUAUUUAAUUUUUUAAAAUUUUAAUCCGUUUAUUUGUUUGAUUGUAGUGGUUUUUCAACACUCACAUUAGCUUUUCAUAGGUUUUUUUAUUGUGAUUAAUUACAACAAGCAUCACUACCUAGAGAUAAAAUAUAUGUCUUGUUUGUUGAAUUCAAAAGUUAUGGAGGAGGGUACCAACAAUAAUUGUAGUAUAAAGAUCCAUAUUUUUUGUACUAUGAAUAUUACCUUAUGGGUAAGUAACAUCUUUUAAGGAUUACUUUCAGGAAUUGAGCUCUUUACCUGAUUAUUCUGAGAUCUAGUAAAGUCUUAUACUAUUAGAUUGGUAAAAAGAAAAGAAAAUAAAAAUAAAGAAAACACACUAUUAAAUAUUUACCUUUUUCUGUAUCAUGUAAAUUAGUAGUAGUGAUAUUCAUAUAAAUUUGCUAAAAAAAAGCAUUGUAUAACUAUUUCACAGAUGCUACAUACUACAAUCUUCUACAAUCUUGUAAUAUCCAUCAUAAUGCUAUUGCAUCCUUUUCUUCUAUAGUCAUGUCAUUUUUCUUUCUUAGUUAUAGCAUGCAUCUGAAUGAUGUGCUUUUUCCCUUCAAGAUGCUGCUUGAAUGCACACUCAUUCAUACACCAUAAUUUGCAUAAUUGACACCAUUUUUUCUUAUGUGGAUCCUCCCCUCCUUGCAUGCUAAUUUUCAAUUUCUGCAAUUUAGCCUUGUGCUUUUUACCAUCAAAAUGCAGCUUCAGCAACGCUUCAUUCGGGCACGAAACUUCACACAUUUCACACCAUUGCCUCUGAUUGCUACUUCCCUCUUUUCCUGCUUUGUCAUUAAAUUCCAGAUCUCGCGAUUUUUCAGCGUGAUUUUGACCUCUUAGUUGCUUGAGAUUGAAUGGACUUGAGCAAGAUACUUGGCAGAUUUCGCGGUAUAAAUUUUGCGUCUUAUCUUCGUAACCAAGACUGCCAUGAAAUUGUUGUUGAGAUUGCAGAGAUGGAUCAUGAGCAUUUCUUGUCGGUUCUUUUCGCUUAGUUCCCGAAAGCAAUGGACUUGAACUUGGACCUGACAUUGACAUUGAGCAGGGAACUUCACAAGAUGGCUUAACCUGUAAAAUGAAUUUAGAUUGAUCAGAAUAGUAUUAUUCUUCAGAGAGAAUCAAAUAUUACACAAGUUAACACAAAAUGUACAUUUUUUUGGCAUAGCAAAUAUGCAAUGCAAGACUAAUUAUUAAAAGUGAUAUUAACUUCCAAUCUUUUCUUCAGAUUGAAUGGACUAGAGCAAGGUACCUGGCAGAGUCCACCGUCUAAAGUUUCCGUCUUUUCUUUGUCCUUGAGACUGCCAUGAAGUGGUUUUUGUUGUUGAUAUUGCAGAGGUGGAUGAUGAAGGCUGCUUGUUGGUUCGUUCCGAUUUGCUCUCCGAAGAAAUGGACUUGAAAAUGGCUUUGAAGUUGGACCUGGCAAUGGCAUUGGGUGGGGAAGUUGACAUGAGGGCUUAACCUAAAUAGUAAAUUGAUUCACUUUUCAUUCACAGAAAAUGGUAGCCCAAAAGAUUAUUCUAGAGAAUCUAACACUACAAAAUUUAAGACUAAAACAUAUAUUUUUGGCUAAAGGAACUAUACAAUGCAAGAGGAAGUAAAUGUGAUUUUAUAUCCAAAACUUUCCAAGAUUGAAUGGACUUGAGAAAGUUACUUGGCUGAUUUUGCAGUAUCUAUUCUUUGUCUCGGCUUUAUGAUCGAGACUGCGAUGGAAUCGGCGUUGACAUUGCAGAGGUGGAUGAUGAUCAGCACUGCUUGUUUCCUUCCCCUUAGUUCCUGAAAGUAAUAGACUUGAAGAUGGCCUUGUACUUGGACUUGGCAAUGGCUUUGAGUGUGGAACUUCACAUGAAUGUUUAACCUGAAAAAUACAUCUAGAUUUAACUAUUCGUUUAAAGAAAGUUUGACCCACAAGAGUAUUCUUCUGUGAGAAUCACAUAUUGCAGAAGUUAAGACUAAAAAUGUAAAAUUUUCACUAAUAGCGACUAUACAAUGAUACAAUGCAAGAGGAAUUAUUAAAAGUGAUAUUAUCUUCCAUUCUUUUCCUCACAAUUCUAUCAAAUGUGAACAAAUGUACACAGCAAGGUAAAAAAGGACUUAAAUUAUAAAAUCAGGAAGCAAAUUAAGCCAUGAUGCCCCAUUAUAUCUUCCAAUAAUCUCAUAAGGCAGUAAUGGCCUCAAAGAUUAGUUGCUAAACGACGACAACAAGUUUUUAUUCCACUAGGUGGGGUUGGCUACAUGAAAAUGACGUCACAAUGCCAUAUCAUAAAUCAUGUUCAUUGACAAUAUUAAUUUCUAAGUCCUUCUUUAUGAUUUCUCCUAUGUUUUUUAUUAGUCUCCCUCUUCCUCUAGGAAUUAGGCUAGCUUCCAUUUGAUCUAUUCUCCUUACAGGGUCAUAAACCAGUCUAUUACACACAUGUCCAAUCCACCUAAGGCACGAUCCUACUAUCUUUUCUACAAUAGAAGCUCGAAUUUUCUCCCUGAUGCAUUCAUUUCUAAUCAUAUCUUGCCGAGUGUGUCCACAUCCAACACAACAUUCUCAUAUCUUCUAAGUUUAUUCUCUUAUCGUCAUUUUAUCGCCCAACAUUAAUCAAUAAUGUCAAAAGAAAAUAAUGUAUUGACAAAAGUAUCUUAAACAUAACAUAACCUGAGAAGGAAUAAUCUCUUGAGUGGAAUGAGUGUUUUGGUUGAUGAGAAAUAUCAUCCUUCUAUAUGCCAGCUCCCUCAUGAUUGCAACCUCAGCUGGUAUUGUCUUUACCCCCUUAUUAUUUGUACUGCCCAUUUUCUCACCUUAAUUAUUUCCUCUGCUACUGUUUUUGUAGCAUAUUACAAUGAUCUGAAAAAUAUACAGUAACAAAUGCUUAAUCUACUCAUAAACCCACCACCAACAAAGAAAAAACCAACACAAUUUUAUACAUUUUAACUAUUCAAAUCAGUGUUCUUUCUUGUAAACACUGAUGAAUAACUUAAUGAACCUGAACCUGGUUUUGUUUAAAGAAUUAGUUGACUGUUGACUGUGUCAGAUUUGAGUGGCAAUGAAAGUGACCAAUUUAGACACUGGGAUUUUCACAGUGAAAUAGAAAAUGUACUGGUAGUUGGGGCUAUUAUUGUAAAUGUCCACUUAUAGUGAAAAGUUAGAAGAGUGUGAUAUAGAACAAAAUGAAUAAUGUACUAACAUUAUAAAAAAACUUUACAGUAUAUAGAUAUUAAAUUAAACUCAUUGUUUUGCCUUUAUUUAUUAAUAUUAAAAAUAUUAUUUUAUUAUAUAUAAAAGAAUAAAAAUGGCUUGUCAUAUUGUUAUUUUUUUUUUAUAAUAUUAGUUUCUCUCUUGCAAUGCAAAUGAUAUGUUCGUACAUUGGUUGAAUUUGUUGUACUGAGUUUCACAAUCUGGCUGGCAAGUGGCAACAUGACAAGAAGUAACAAAAAUUUAUUCAAAGAAAAAACAAUUAUGUACCCAAAAGACAAUUGGAAUUUUCUUUUUUAAAAGUGAUAUUUGGAAUUUAAAAAUUCUAAUGGUUUUAGUUGCAUAGUUAAGUACAGCUGGUCAAUCAACCCUUACGAUGGUAUUGGCUAUUCAAUCAACAUCUACUACUAUCUAUAUAUAAAUUGAAAGCCUUCAUGAUUUUACAUUAGGAGAGAUCAUAUAAUUUUGAUAUGUAAUAUUUAGAUGGUUAAUUUUAUCUAUUUAAAUUUUUUAUCCUUUACUAUUAUUUCGUAUAAUUAAAUGUAAAGUGAUUCAUUUUUUUCCUUCAAACUUCUCACUCCAUUCUUUUUAUUUUCACUCCAUUAUUGAUUUCUAAUUUUUUUUUGGAAUAGACUACAAUUUAAAAUAAUUUUGUAUCUCCAAGAAAAAAUUUAUUAAUAAGGGGUGCUUGAAAUUAUCCAAAACGGAAUUAAAAGUUACGUCUUUAACAAUUAAAAAUAAUUAUUAUGAUUAUUAUAUCAUUUGUAUUUGAUAUUACAUGGCUUACGAAUACAAGUUAGUUAACUAAUAUGUUUAUUAACUAAUAUGACAAAUGAGUAUAAAUCAUCCUAUAAAUAAUUGCCAUAUAAAAAUAAGAACAAUUGAGUAUUGUUAAGUAAUUAAUGUGCAACAACGAUGCAUUUGACAAAUAUAAAAUUUCGGAAAUUUUUUAAAGAUAAGAAUAUAAGAUUAAUUAUUUUUUCAAGCAUGAGAUGAAUAGUUUUUCCAAUUUUCCAAUAAGUUAUAUUGUUUAUGUUAUAUUAAGAGUAUUACAUGGCUUCUGAACAUCAUAUUGUUUACGUUAUAUAUUUUUACAAGAUGACUAAUAUAAAUAAGACUUUUUACACGUUAUAAACCUCAAUGGCUAAUAUUAAUGGGAUAUUUUUUAUGCAUUAUAUUAGGAAGAAUAACAUUAAUUACUAUUGGUUUACGGGACUCCAAUACAACUAGAGGGUGUGAAUAAGUGGUUUGAUAUACAAUUAAAACUUUUUGAUUUUGAAAGAUAUUUGAUGAUUUUAACUUAUUUAAUCGAUUAACAACUUAUUUAAUCAAUUAAAAUAUAUAUGAAGUUAAUUGAUUAACUCGAUCAAUUUGUUAGAAAUUUUUUUAGUUCUUGACACAACGAUAUACAACUAUCAAUAUGUUCUUUCAUGCACUUCAAUAAUUGAUUUUAUGUGAUCAAUCAUGUAACGACAAGUAUGAAAUAAUCCUAAUAUGAAUUCAAUUCAAGAUAAUGGAAAUUGAUAAUUGCUUAAAUGUAAAAGAGUAGGGAUAAGUGAAUUUGACACAUUCGAUUUUAUCCUAGUUUGAUUGUCAAUUACAGCAAUCUACAUCCAGUCCUCCCAUUCUGAUAUGGGAGAUUUGUUUUGACUAUGAAGAAUUUGGAUGUUCUUACAAACAAUCUUCCACCAAGAAUCUCUUUGACCUUCCUUAUAAUGGAUAGCCUUAUCACUUCUAGCUUAAGAUUUCUCUAAGCUCUCCUUCUAUGGUGAUACCUCACAUAUUAAGAGAUGAAUUAUUAACAAAACGUUCUUCUUGUGUACAAUGAUUUUGCACCUUUUCGUGUGCUAAUAUUCACUCAAUUCAUAAUAUCUAAACCUUCUUAAAAUAUCUCACAAUCUCAUAGUAUAAUGAUGUAUGAUCAUGAGAAGCAGAGGUUCUUGAAAUUUUGUUUGAGAUGAUGAUGAAUGCUUGAAUAUCUCUCUUCAAAAAUUCAUGAAAAGUCUCUUAUCUUGUGUCAAAGUAUCUAGCUUUCUUUUUUCAUAAACUCUCUCGUUUUAUCCUGAAAAAUGUUGCAAUUGUUCAUGGGAAUUAUUGGUUAAAAACAACCUUCAGUUUUUAUCAGUUUUAUGUUAGUUUAAUCGAUUAUGUACUUAAUUGAUGAACGUUCUUUAAAAAUCUAAAAUUUCAAAACUAAAUCUGACUUAAUUGGUUUUUUUUUUUGCCUUUUACCAAUGAUUUUUUAUUAUCACUAAAUGGUGAAUUUCUUGUAGUGAUUCAAAUAUUAUUAUUUUUACUUUUAGUUCAAUAUUUAUACCUAAAUAAUUGACAAUAGAAUGUAGGAAUUUGAAAUUAAUAUAUAAUAUAAUUAAUAAUAUCUUCAAACACACAUGUUACGUAGCAAGUGCUUGAUACACCAAUAUUCAAACAUGUGAUUCAACAACAUUCAUUACAAAGAACAUAGUUGAAUAUGUGACAAUCAAGAAUGCUCAGUUCACUUAGCGUUGUUGAAUCUAUACACCAUAAAAUUUACAACAUGUGUUUCAUUAAAAGUUUUUGAUUGGAUAAAUAUAACAACGUUUAUUUCGUUACGCAUUGUUGAAGAAUGUCGUUCCUUUGAGCUCCACCUAUCAUCUAACAACAUCCUACACAUAGGUACAACUAAAUAUGUAUUGUUGAAAGAUAAUUCUAGUGUAAUGAAUAUUGCCUACUAGUAUCUAGACAUUUAUAAAUUUAUUUUUUAACAAAUAUUUUAUAUAUAUUUUUGGUACAUUAAGAAAAAAAACAAGAAACUACAGCAAUUUAGUACUAAUAAAUUUAUAAUAAACGUAUACUAUUAUUCAUGUAAUGGUAAAAAUAUUGAUAUUAAUUAAACAUAUAAAUAUAAUUAAAGUGAAAAAUCCAUUAGAUACACACUAACUUUACAUAUAUACAUGCAAAUAGGUGCAAGUAUGAAUACAAGCAAGACUCGAACCUAUUCUUACUCAUUGCCAUUUCUAAUUAUAGGCAAUAAAAGGAGUAUCUUGACCCUAAAAUCUAUGUAGACAAAUUUGGUUUUUUCCUUUCAAUUUUUUGAAGUUCUGGAAACAGAAAGAAAAGUAUAGUAGGGUUAGUCCAGCCAAGACAUGAAGAUUGCGAGUAGUUUGGUACCUUCUUAAAGCCAACAGAAUAAGAAAAUGCAUAAGAACAGACCAUUUCCUAUGAUGUCGGUUUUGUUUUGUCCAAAUUUGGAGAUGUUGCAUGGAAGUGAGGUUAUCAUUCCCUCCAAAUAUGGCACAAACCGUUUCUGCCACUACCAUUCCCAUUUUUUCUCUCUCUUUCUCUUUCUCUUUUUUCUUACCAACCCAUCACCACAUUCAUCAUGGAGGUUCUCACAUCACCUCUCAUUUCUUCAUCUCACUGGCUUUGUCUAGGGUAUCCUUAUUUCCUCUGGAACCCUAGAUGUGGCUAGUUUUCUAUUCUAUCAAUCUGACAGAGAUAUCACCUUUGCAGCUACAUGUUUAGCUCAAACAAGUACCAUAUUUCAUCCCUUUAUUUGUGUGUCUUGUGUUGUUUUAAAUUGUGGUUGCGGACGUUUUGUUGAACAUGCUGCAAUUGCAUGGGAAAGUGUGAUCGAUGUGGUUGGAAUUGUAUCCCCCAUGUCGUUGUAGAAAAUAUCAAAUUCGCAAUAUCAAAUGCGGUUGCAAAUCACAUUUUCAAACCCUAGUCAUCUUGUGUCAUUUAAAUACUUGUUAAAUGACUAAUGACAAUUUAAAUAUUUGUUAGUUUCAAUACCGAAGUAAGAAAAUCUUAUAAUAAUAAUACAAAAAGUGAUGAACCACUACAUUUUUUAUAACUAUUCUAUACCCAUUGAGUAUCUUCCCGUGUUUAAUGUUUCUGUGCCACCACUUUCAUUGAGAUAGCAAUGAUUGUUGGGAAAUUUGAUAUGAUUAUUUUUUUAAAUUUUAUGCAUCUGAACUUUAGCAUUCUGAUUUCACAAAACAUCUUAUUUUUGUCACAGGCACUUUGUCAUCAGUGUGCAAACUGACAUAUCAACCAAAUGGGGUUGAAAAUUUCAAAGCCAGGCCAGCCCAAAAUUAAUCAUAGGCUGAGUUUACAAGAUCACAUGAUAAAUUACCUAGCCAAGAAUUUUAUUCGUAACUUGGUAUCUAAGCAACGUAGAAGAAUGCUAAUUGCUGGUUAUGAUCUUGACAUGUCAUAUAUCACAGAUAGGGUAUUAGCCAUGUCAUUUCCUUCAGAACGUAUGCGUGCAAUGUAUCGAAAUCCUCUUUGGCAAGUCAAAUCUGUCUUGGACAUGAGACAUCAAGACCAUUAUAAGGUGCACUUUCAACUCAUGGUACAAUGUACUAUCAUCUUAUUUACCUUGAAUUGUAUGUUUGUUUUUGUUGCGUAUAUUUAAGUGUAAAGUGACACAAUGGAUAUGAGGAGAGAAAUGAAAGAGUUUAUAACUGGAAAAGACACAUGAAACUAUUGCUUUAAGGUUUUGGUUUGAAACGUGAUGUUUCACUUGUGAGUCUUCGCUCUUUUUGUGUCCCAAUAACCAUGAGGCUAAUGUUGUUUAAUAUGUAUGUAGCCGACUUCACCUAUUUGGAUAAAUAUUUGAUUGUUGUUGUAAAACCAUUUGCUUAACAAAUAGGAAGGUCUUUCUUUAAAUCCUUGAAUUUUGUUUGCUUUGUCUUUCAUAUUUGUACUAAUCUAUCAAAAUACAUUGUGUACCUUGUUGAUUUGAAUAAAACUAGAAUCACCUCUAGCAGGUUCAUGUAAACUACUUAUUACUUACAGGUUAUAGUAUCCUUUAUUCUUCUUUGUCAGUAUAUUUAGUUUUCUUCACUUAUGUUAUGUGACUUAUAUAUAUCUUCAUAGAAGUGUAUGACACUAUGAAUAGUUGUAUAAUGUUAACAAAUUGAAGGUGUAAAGGAUGUCACUUUUACCUAUCAUUCUACCUUUAUUCACUAACUGUCAUGCAUUUUGUUAUAGCUAAAGGAUAUGACUUUUGAAAUUUCAGAUCUAUAAUCUAUGUAUAGAAGAAAGUUAUGACCCAACACACUUUUAUGGACGUGUAGAAGCAUAUCCAUUCGAUGAUAACCAUGUGCCACCUCUUGAAAUGAUCAAAGCUUUCUGUGAAAGUGUGGAUUCAUGGCUGUCAAGUGACCCAAAAAAUAUUGCAGUUAUACAUUGCAUGGUAAGAAAAGGCACACUUCCAAUUCGAAUCUUAAGAAAUUUCACAAUGGAGUCUUUCACAUUUUAUUAUAUUUGUAGUUAUUUAAUUUAAUAUGUCUGUGCUUCGAACCGUCAAGACAACGGUAAAGUUAUUUGCCUUGUGACCUAAAGGUCAUGAGCUCGGAAUCCUGAAAACAACCUCUUUAUUUGUAAGAGUAAGACUGUUUACCUUCCCCAAACUCCCCUAGUUGGGAGCUUCAUGCGUUUGAAUGUUUGUAAAAAUUAUUUGAUCAAUGAUCAAGAAUGAGCUUAACAAGCUCUGAAUACUGGAAUGGAAGAAGAUGAAAAUAUGAAUAAUACCUCAAUUGAUUGAAUUAGGAUUUGAAUAAAUGAUUACUACUUACGUUAAGGACCAACCUUUGUUUAUAUACAAGUAACUAAAUAACUAACUAUUUAAAAGAUAAACAUCAUUUAUCUAAGGGUCAAAUAUUUAAUCAUCUAAUUACAAGAAAUCAAUGGUUUACAUUCAUCUACUAAGAUUACUUGCGGUACAAGUAAGUUAGCCUAUGGCUAGAUUCUGGUUAUGUUUCUCCCUUAGUAUCGAAACCUUGGUAUAAUGCCUGUUUUUUAAUGUCUUCAUGUUUUAUAUUUUAUUAUUUAAAUAACUUAAUAAGAAAAGCCACCAAGCAUGACACUUGAGCAAAAGUUUUAGAUUUUUUAUUUAUCUAACCAUUGAAACAUCGUGAAUUGGUUUUCUUGUACCAAUUUGUGGUUCUUAUGAGAAUCGAUUCUCUUUAAGGAAUAAACCAGAUUUUUACCUAUAAUUUCAGUAAAAGAAAAGAAAAGAAGAAUAAUUGGUACACUGACUUACAUGAAAUGAGUUACAACAAAUAAUAAAUAAUUGUAUUCUUUGAUAUUUCUCCUAUGGUAAAACAAAAGUUAAUUCAAGCUUACAAGAAGUAGCACUAGAAACAACCGUACAGAAAACUAUAAAUACCCUGAAUAUGCCCCUAACAUACCAAUAUUUGACAGGGUAACAUAUCGCAUACUAAGCACCUGCGCCCAUAAAAAAGAGAAUUACAUAUCAUGUGACUAUGAUCUCAACCGAUAAAAGAUAUGAUAGAUAAUACUGAAAUUAUGAAGGGAACAGCUUCAUUGAAUUUUAUGGUUGUCUUUAGCUGGAGCUAGAGAUUGCCUUAAGCUGUUUUGUUUAUGUAUUCUUACUGAUCCUAGAUGCUUCAUAUUUCUAAAAGAUAAUUGUACAAUCUUGUAAGUGAACCUUUGGCUGGGAUGCUUCUGAGAUUCAUUUUUUUUGCGACAAAGAAAGGAAUCAUUUAGAUGUUGAAAAUAUGUGUAGAACAGUUUCCUUCUAGUAUUGAGAAAAAUAUAUGCGCCGAUACUGUAUAAGAAAUAUAUUGAGUGUGUAUAAAUCUUUCUGUACACUGACAGUGCAUAGAUAUUACAGUGUCAAGUGUAACUAGAUACAUUUUUCUGAUUUGUACUAUUUGAUUACAAUUAUGCAGGCAGGGAAGGGGAGAACUGGCUUAAUGGUGUGUGCAUACCUAACUUAUUGUGGCAUGUCAGCAGAUGAGGCUCUUCAAUUGUAUGCAGAUAGAAGAACAACAAAUAAUGAAGGAGUAAGUUAUAUUAGGUAUAGUUCCAACAUUUUAAAAUACAACCAUAUUACACUGUGAUUGUAAUGUGACACCGAAUUACAGCAAUAUGACACCAACAUAUUUGUGGGUGUAUUGUAACAGGUAUCAAUACCAAGCCAGCGUCGUUAUGUGGGAUAUUGGGAGAGUGUGCUUUCUGUGCCUAGGGGUGCUGGAAAUGGAGCACCAAUUGUGAACUUGCCUCCAUCAUGCAGCAGAGAAUUGAGGCGAAUAAGGCUUUAUGAUACUGUUAACAUUGACACUGUAUUCUUUGUCAUCUCAGAGCUACAACAGGUUAGUUCUCAACCAUCUAUCAUAUCAAGAUAUCAAGAUUUGUUGUUCCUUUUUAGCUGCUAAACCUUCCAUCUACAGAUAUCAAGAUUUGUUGUUCCUUUUUAUAGGUUCCUAAUCAGGUUUAUCGUCCUUCAGUGGAAGUUUCUCGAAGCUGUUGCAGACAGGUUAAGAAAGGUUAUCAGAGAACGAAUAGUCCUCGAUAUUAUAUUUCUUAUGUUGAAGGUGAUGAAAAUGGAAACCAAACAGAACAAGAAGAACCUCGUAUUGUAGUUCAAAUGGACACAGAGAGUCCUAUAAUAUACAAAAAAUCAUGUCUAGACCAUUAUUUUGACCAACCUAUAAAAGUAAGUAGUCAUCAUUAACUGUUAUAUUUAAUUACAUGCUGUAAAAAGUUGAGUAAAUAACUAUUUUGUUACAUCAAAAAUUUUAAGGGUAGGAAUUUCGCUAAAGUUUUAAAUGUGGGUAAAGUUGAUUAUUUUUGUUGACACAUGCAAAAUUGCAAAAUGUUAUUUUGCUAACAGACGCGCAAUAGUAAGGUUGCUAGUGACCAUGAGGCUGAGUUCUAAUCUUAGAAAUAGCUUUUUUAAUUUUUGUAGGGGAAAGACUGGUAUAUUUAUUAUUUCCAGAUCUUACUAACUGAGAAUCUCGUGAACUGAGCCGCCAUUUUUUAGUUCUACCUAAUAUUAAUUUCCACUUCUAACUGACCAACCUGAAAUUGUUGGACAGGUAACUGGAGAUGUACGUGUCAUCUUCUAUGAGAAAAUGAUAGGAGGCCGUCUUUUCUAUUGCUGUUUUAAUACAGCCUUUAUCAGGAACAGCUUACUUCAGGUAUUAUCAUUCUUCUUUCAUGCCAUUAUUAAUUUUGUUUGGUGCUGUAUUAGAUGGAACAUACUUAAGCCCUUCAAAUAUAUUUCAAAAGAGCGUUAUAUUCUCCUACUAAAUCCUCGUACUAAUUAUCCUACCCACAAAAAAGUGAUACAUAUUACUUACUUUGGCUGGGAUGCUUCUGAGAUUCAUUUUUUUUGCGACAAAGAAAGGAAUCAUUUAGAUGUUGAAAAUAUGUGUAGAACAGUUUCCUUCUAGUAUUGAGAAAAAUAUAUGCGCCGAUACUGUAUAAGAAAUAUAUUGAGUGUGUAUAAAUCUUUCUGUACACUGACAGUGCAUAGAUAUUACAGUGUCAAGUGUAACUAGAUACAUUUUUCUGAUUUGUACUAUUUGAUUACAAUUAUGCAGGCAGGGAAGGGGAGAACUGGCUUAAUGGUGUGUGCAUACCUAACUUAUUGUGGCAUGUCAGCAGAUGAGGCUCUUCAAUUGUAUGCAGAUAGAAGAACAACAAAUAAUGAAGGAGUAAGUUAUAUUAGGUAUAGUUCCAACAUUUUAAAAUACAACCAUAUUACACUGUGAUUGUAAUGUGACACCGAAUUACAGCAAUAUGACACCAACAUAUUUGUGGGUGUAUUGUAACAGGUAUCAAUACCAAGCCAGCGUCGUUAUGUGGGAUAUUGGGAGAGUGUGCUUUCUGUGCCUAGGGGUGCUGGAAAUGGAGCACCAAUUGUGAACUUGCCUCCAUCAUGCAGCAGAGAAUUGAGGCGAAUAAGGCUUUAUGAUACUGUUAACAUUGACACUGUAUUCUUUGUCAUCUCAGAGCUACAACAGGUUAGUUCUCAACCAUCUAUCAUAUCAAGAUAUCAAGAUUUGUUGAUAAUUUUUAGCUGCUAAACCUUCCAUCUACAGAUAUCAAGAUUUGUUGUUCCUUUUUAUAGGUUCCUAAUCAGGUUUAUCGUCCUUCAGUGGAAGUUUCUCGAAGCUGUUGCAGACAGGUUAAGAAAGGUUAUCAGAGAACGAAUAGUCCUCGAUAUUAUAUUUCUUAUGUUGAAGGUGAUGAAAAUGGAAACCAAACAGAACAAGAAGAACCUCGUAUUGUAGUUCAAAUGGACACAGAGAGUCCUAUAAUAUACAAAAAAUCAUGUCUAGACCAUUAUUUUGACCAACCUAUAAAAGUAAGUAGUCAUCAUUAACUGUUAUAUUUAAUUACAUGCUGUAAAAAGUUGAGUAAAUAACUAUUUUGUUACAUCAAAAAUUUUAAGGGUAGGAAUUUCGCUAAAGUUUUAAAUGUGGGUAAAGUUGAUUAUUUUUGUUGACACAUGCAAAAUUGCAAAAUGUUAUUUUGCUAACAGACGCGCAAUAGUAAGGUUGCUAGUGACCAUGAGGCUGAGUUCUAAUCUUAGAAAUAGCUUUUUUAAUUUUUGUAGGGGAAAGACUGGUAUAUUUAUUAUUUCCAGAUCUUACUAACUGAGAAUCUCGUGAACUGAGCCGCCAUUUUUUAGUUCUACCUAAUAUUAAUUUCCACUUCUAACUGACCAACCUGAAAUUGUUGGACAGGUAACUGGAGAUGUACGUGUCAUCUUCUAUGAGAAAAUGAUAGGAGGCCGUCUUUUCUAUUGCUGUUUUAAUACAGCCUUUAUCAGGAACAGCUUACUUCAGGUAUUAUCAUUCUUCUUUCAUGCCAUUAUUAAUUUUGUUUGGUGCUGUAUUAGAUGGAACAUACUUAAGCCCUUCAAAUAUAUUUCAAAAGAGCGUUAUAUUCUCCUACUAAAUCCUCGUACUAAUUAUCCUACCCACAAAAAAGUGAUACAUAUUACUUAUAAUCCAAUCAUUAAUAAUUAAAAUAUCUUAUUGUGACACAUGUCAUCUUCUUGUGGAUAAAAAGAUUAGUAGGAGGAUCUAUCAUUUUCCUAUUACAAAACAAUUACUGGGGUUAUUAAUAUUUCAUUUGUUAUGGAAAACCUCUUCAAGGUGGAGCUUAUAUAACAUAAAUUUACAUCUCAGUGACUCAGUCUAUUUGAAAUUUUUGUUCAAGAAGUUCAUCAUUAUUUGACAUAGUUAGGAUUUUUAAGCAUUUGAAGCAAUGGAAAUAAAAAAUACUAAGAUAAGAACAAAAGCACAGCUGUGAAAUUGAAAUAUCUCACUGCUUUGAUCAUGGUAUUAGGACUUAAUAUGAUGAGAGUCAAACCCAAAAGACUGGUCUAUCCAUCGAGUUAGUGUUAAUAGAGUGAAAGCAGCUGCGGACUUCGGUCCUUUAAGGGACAACAAUGUUAGGAAUCUCACAUUAUGUAGCAUAGCAAACUCAAUGAAAUGAUCAAUUGUUAGGACUUAAGCACAUAAGAAGAGCACAACCCAAAAGACUAGUCUUCUAGGUGGGAGAAUUUUCUCUUUUUUGGUGGCUUCACUCGUCUGUCAGUAUUUGAUAAACUUCCAAGUUAGGAUAUCCUCAUAUGCAUAAGUCGUAACACAUGACAUGUCAUUUGGUUCAACAAAAGUUAAGGGUUUUAUAGCAGUUUUUAAAGACCAUAUAUAGGAUGUGAUAUUUGAAUAAACUAAAAUGCGCCACAAAAAAGAUUGAAGGAUUCAGGCCAGAAAUAAUAAGCAUUUUUUAUUGUUCAGUUUUAUGUGACAUUUACAGUUAAAUAGGACAUGAAAAUAGAAUGCAGAAUAUUACUUGUCUGAGUUCCCUUUUAUAACUAUUGUUUUGUAGCUCACAAUAAGGGACUUGGACAAAGUUGGGAAGAAAGGAAGAUCAAUAUGUGGUCCUGCAUUUUGCGUCGAAUUACUCUUCGGCCCCGCGAAUACAGGACUUUCAUCAUCAAGCAUAUCCAUUGGUGACACUUUUAGUGAUGAUACAUUCUAAUAUUGUUUACAUGGAUCUAUGCAAACAUAAGGUGAAAGGUCAUGUCUAAUUCUUCACACUACCUUGUGUAAAUUAUUUCCUGCUAAAUGUUCCGAAGAAUGAGUCCCUUGCAGUGUUUUGUAUCAGUGCACAGAUCCCUUGCAGUGUUUUGUAUGAUUCUUAAUGAGUCCCUUGGGGUGUAAGUGCAAUUUUUUGUAUUGUUUUAGUAACUGAGUAGUUUUGAAGGGCAGAACUUGAGAGCAUUAUAAUGCAAAACUUCUUCAGUUUUCUCAUUGAAUUUAAUUUGUUCUUGUGUAAAAACUUCAACACUCUGGUCCUAUCAUGUAAAAACACAUUAUUAGAAAAUGUUGAUCUUUCUUGUAUUGGGUUAGCACCCCUUAUGCUCUUUUUAAUACAACUUUUGCUUAUAAAAAAAACGAUUGACUUUGAUACAAUUACCUAAAGUUAGCAUGCUUUUGAUGAUGAUGCAACUUUUAGAUGAUUUAACUCUUAACUGAGAGUGGAUCAAAAGUAAACCCUGCAUCAUUAGGGCUUAACUUUGAUCCUGUAAAUGAGGGAAGAAAUUCUCAAUCCUUUUCUUGUUAUAAAUCUAUUCUGGAAUGCAAUAAUAGUCUAAGUCACACAUUCAUGCCAUUUUAGAACUCUUGUAAUUAUGUGCCAUCAUCAGUGGCCGUGGUGCUUGUGUUGUUCAGAACUCUUGUAAUCUAUUCUGGAAUGCUAUAGGACCAAAAACCUGCAAUCACCAAUUUGCUAUAAAAGCAAAUUGCCAAAAAAUAGUACCAGAUGAAUGUAAAAGUGUACACAUGAAUGUAAAAUAGUACAUAUGGUGGCUGGAUUUUAAGUGUUUGUUUGUGUGAAAUAAAACAUUACCCAAUGUAAAUUUGUCAAUUAAAAGAUAUGAACAAACCUUAGCAUAACUAUAGUAUCCUUACUAAAAGGUUGUCAAUUUAUGCAAAUACAAUCACUCCCUACAUUGUUAUAAUCCAGCUCUAUGAGCAUUACACUUCUGCUUAUAUGAUGAUAGUGCAACAGUCAAGAAGAAAUGGAACUUUUUGAUAUGAUAUCAAAGGAAAUUCCAUUUUGUUGCAGUCUUUCCUGAAGAUCAGUUGGACCAAAUAUAAUCCCUGGAGGGUAUGCUCCUCCUUUUGGCAGGUCGUUGCGUCGGCUAAGAAGAACGAGAGCACACUGAAUAAGGAUUAUUGAGGUUGUUAGAUAUCCAACUUCAGGUCCCAUUACUCUUGUAACGAUUUCCGUGUCAGGUUUUGUGUUUCUUUGUGAGGCAAGACUCUCAUUACUAAAACCAUGUCCAACAAACCACAUCUUGAAAGAAGCACUUUUCACUUCUUCUUCGGAAGGGCCCUUUUCACGGAACCAACCAAGGCUAAAGACUGAAGGGAAGUUCAAAAGAAGCCGUCUUCCCAAGUUAAAACUGCCAAAAAGGCCAAUGAAAAUUCCGACUGUAAUGAUUCGGAAAAUGCCCAAUAAAGAUUUUGAUCCUAUUUUCACACCAAAAUGAGCUGGCUUCACAGAUGACCAGAAGGCUUCCCUUUUCUCAAUCAUCUCAGCAUGCUCAUUCAACCCAGGGAGACCAUGUGGGUUUUCGGUUAGAACUGAGAGUGUUCUUCGUACAACAAUUGAAUCUGCUGAAGGUAGCUUCACUGCCCAAAGGCCCAGUUUCUUCUGGUUUUCUAUGGUUUCUCCUUUUGAGGGAGGAGGCCCAGGAACCUACAACCAUGAAAAUAAAAGUCGAUAAAAUGACAUAAUAUUAACGUUAUAAAAAAUGGAAAGGGAAACUGCUAUACAAGGUCAUAAACAAUACAUACGCUAGCGUAAGUUAAUCUCAGACAACGAGAUUGAGUAGUCUGAAUAAACAACACAAGAAAGAAGAAGGAAAAAGGGUAGGAGUGGGUUCUAGGAAAGAAGCUGACAAUUUAAUCCAAAUCCAAUUUUAGUAACUCUUUCACAUAACAACAAAUUCCCCCUUAACAAGUAUUUGUUUAGGUAGCAAACAGAUAAGGAAAAAUGGGAAGACAGUGCCCUCUAUAUUCUCAGUGAUAUGCCUUAGACACCUUUUGUAGGCACAUUUCAAGAUCUGAUUGUAAUAAUGGAAAUAUCUUCUCUUGUUUGUAGAAUCUAUACAUAUUUGAGAAAUUAUUAUGCCCACAGCAUUACUUGGUACUAGGUUCUUUUCACCCCGCAUGGAGCAGUUGUAAAACAGAACAAAUUGAGGGGUUGAUUUGGAAUCGGAUAUAUACACACCAAGACGGCCACAUGCAGUAUAAUGUAGCCAUAAUAUAUCCCAAGUAAAAUUAACAGCUUUUGUACUCUGAGCAUCUCACUUCCACCUCAACACAUCUACCCUAAUUACUCUUUAAGUUUUACCUACAAUUUUGAAGGUACAAAUGUUUCAUCAUCAAUGCAUUUAAAAGAACUAAAGCCCCUGCCAUGUUUCUGUAUAAUCUUGUUUUUCAGUUCACAAUUACAUACUAUGUCCCAUCGUUAGUUUACGAAAUUUCAAUUUUGCUGCAUCAUCCUAUAUGUCAUUUGAUGUCUCAUGUUAUCAUGUGUGUGUCUGUGUUCGUGUGCUUGACAGUUAUUGUAUAAUCAUGUAAGUUUUGUCUCAUACCAGGACACAUACAAUUAGACAGCUGGAUUUCUUGUUGAACCCACUUGACGUUACGGAAACUGUAACCAACGCUACAAUGUUCACAAGUAAUACAUAUUUGCCAAAUACAAAUAUGCAUUAACCUUAUCACGACUUACCUAUUACAAACCACAAAUAUUAAAUCGCCAAGAUUGUACUUGAAAACUAAAACAACCAUGCUUCGAGCAGAUCCCGGGCAUUGAUUGAGGAAGUAGCCCAACUUUUUUCAUCUACGCAAUGAAGAAUUACUUCUUAUAGGCAAAAUAGAUAUCUGCCGUGAACUUAGUUUUUUUUCCAUCUUAGUCUUCUAAGUAGUAUUCAUUUCAAUUUGGUCCCCAAUCUUUGCAAGAUUAGACAAUAUUAGUAAUUGACGUUAGAUUUGUUACAAUUUGGUCCUCACACAUCCACUACUCGCCUUCUUCCCUAUUGACAAAAGCCACUCAGUUCAUACUAUUGUAUCAAAUUGCAGAUGUAGUCACAAUAAAGCGUUUGAAGUGAUCUUUGCAAUCGCAUCACCCCAAAAUUGCAGCGUGACACAAAAUUAUAAUGAUGUAGCUGCAUUGAGACACAAUGCAAAGCAACCGCAUCAGACUCCAUUUAGGCCACAUCAGAUUCGAAAACAUUUUUAAUCACAAAAUUUCAAACUGUCAUGGCCACAAAACGGCUAAUAACCACAAUUGCAGUAAAGUGAUCGGGGGAAAAUCUAUUGGGCUAGUUUGUGUAAAAUCUGUGAACACCUGCUUAGUUGUUAAUACAGUUUUGUUAACAUUAUUGGAUUUUCAUCAAUAUUAACAUCACAGUAAAGUUAUUUCCUUAAUAUCAAAUUCAACAUCACACUUCAUCUCUUACCACAGGCUUAGCUCUUCUGGGUCUGGACCUUCUCAGCUCCUGCAACUUGUGGGCAUUAGCAAUACCAAGAAUCGCCGACUCAUACGUCGCGAAGUUACCCACGAUCCUCCUCUCAGACUCCAAGCUCACAAACGCCUCUACUCGAUUCGGCACCGCUGGAUUCACCCACUGCCGUGAAUUAAACAUGAACCCCAGCUCUGCAGGAACCGAAUCGAACCCACAAGCCGAAACCACCAAGGAACCGGUUUCCACAGCCCUGUCAUGGUAAUUGGCCUCCAUCCGCUCCAUGAAUUCCGGCUCUCCACAGAUGUCCAAAUAGUCACAGCCGGUGUCAGCACAUGCAGCGACAACGGGCUCGCCAUGGAGGCGAAAAGGGCCGACGCAGUUGAGGAUGAGGGAAGUCUGGGCGCAGAGGGCGCGGAGGGAUGAGGGGUCGGCGGUGUCGGCGGUGAGGAUGGGGAGAGAAGGCCGAGGGUUGGGUCGAGCUGCCCAUUGGAGGGUUUGGGUGAGUUUUGUUGGGUUGCGACCAGCGAGGGCUAUGGAUUUGAGUGGGGAAGAUGGGUUGUUGAGGAAUUUGAGAGCUUCUUUCACAACAUAUUUGCCUGUGAAACCUGAGGCACCAAGGAUUAUCAGAUCAAAACGAUGGGAUUUGGGACUCUGUUGGUCUUGGUUUGAUGCCAUGGGGUUUUGCACGUUGGAAUGGAUCUCUUGCACUUUUUGGUGAUUCUCCACGGAAAAUUUAGUUUAGUAUCCCACUAUUGGGAUACCUUUGAAUUAAUUAAGGGAAAGGGGUAUUUUUGUGGAUCUCGUUGUUUGGAAAUGCGAUUUCUCACCAAUGUCGUGGACCUCAUCUAUGUUUCCCUUACAGAUUCUCUCUCCUCCUGAAGAGAAGUCGUGCGCAUGCACGACUUUCAUAGUCGUGUACUCCGUACACGAGAUUGGAUGGGAUACGGUGAUUUUUGAAAUCCCCUUAACACGAAAUUGAUAUUGUUAUUUAUUGUUUUAGGAGUUUGUUUUAUGAUUUGUAGUAAAGUGUUAGUUUUAUGGAAUUUGGUUAAUGUUUUUGAUAUUUUUUAACACUUAUUUUAAAUGCAUAUAUUGAAAUAAUAAGAAAAUUUCAUGGAAAUGAUAUUGAUAAUUGUCUUAGGAAUUUAAAAAUGGUUACAUUAAAGAAAACAUAACAAGAAUAGAAAUUGCUAAUGACAUCUAGGAGAUGAUGUUCCACAUCAAAUGCCUUCAUCCUUCGAGGUGGUUGGACUCUUAGUUCUUGUUGUGAUUGAUGUUGUCUUCCACCUCUAACUAGUUGUGGCCGCUCCUCAUCAUCGUUAUCAUUUUCAUCGUCUUCGUUUGGUUGUGAAGGCAUUGUCGGUUGAUAAUAUUAUUGAGAGUUGAAUGCCGACAAUGGAGUAUUUGAAAUAGUGCCAAACAUUGAUGACAUUCCUUGAAAUUGCGAAAAAGAUGCUAAGUGAGAGAAUGAGUAGUCACUCAUUGCUCCGAAACCUUCAAACCCAAAGGGUUGUUGUUGUUAUUGUUGAGGUCAGGAAUUUGACUCUCAUAAUGUUGCUGAAACUCAUGUGCAAUAGGCAUUUGAAAUUGUUUUAUCACAAAUUUACAACAGAAUCCUAUUUAAUACUUUAGCCUUCAUUAACAUCCAUCAAAACUAGGUCGGUGAUAAUCCACACAAAGGUUAUCAUGACAAUGCUACAAGGAAGCUAUAAUAUUCGGGUACCUAUUCCCAAAAACUAUUUUUCAAGGUACCAUUAUUAUCAUAUUCACAACAAACAUAUUUUAAAUUUACUCAUUCUCAUAUUAGUCCUUAUCUAGUAUGUGAGCAUCCAGUUUAAACAAGACCUAAACAAACCACAAUCCAAAAUGAAUUGAACUAGAUAAAAGCAGUAUGGAUGAUAGUACCAAUAAGUCGGACAAUGAUCAUCUAUCCCAAAAAAAUCAUGGUCUUAUGUAUCAAAUCAAUUAAAUUUCAUAUAAUAAUAUACAAAUAUUAAUUUCUAUUAUUAAAAUUUUUAUUUUUAAUUAAAUAAGAUUUUGUAAUUGGCAUCCCAAUAACCCACUGUCUGCAGAAGUGGACUCAUAAACUCAGUUUCCCUCAAACCCACACAACAUUCUCAGUCACUCAUCUAAAGAGAGAGAAAUUAAAAUAAAAAAGAUUAACUUUUAUUAUUAUUUGAAUACACAGAAAAAGAGAUAUAAUAAUAAAUGAAUAAGGGGACAAAAGGGUUCAGCUUUUUGAAGGUGAAAGUGAGAUCUUUUUAACACACUCAUCAAUUUAGCAGAAGCCAACACUCUGAGACACACAAUAGAGAGAGAGGAGAGAAAUAACCAACCACAACUACACAUAUAUCUCUUCUUCUACAAAUUUGGCUACUUCACUUCUUCACUCUAUAAACAAAACAUAUUCCAAUGACUUUGGUAACACUUCUCCAUCAAACUCUUCAUAUUACACAGUUUAUUCUAUUUUCUUUUUCUUCUGUUAUAUUAUUUACUCACUUAUGCUUAUAUCCUACCUUAAAUGAUGUAACAAUUUCUAGUAUGCAUGGCAGAUAGAAUAUUGUGAUAAAAAUCUAAAAUAACUAAUACAAUAAAAACUAAUUUAUAAACAAUUCAGGGCAUGAUUGUCUGACAAUGAAUCUUUAACAUGGUUUAAAUCCAAACUCUUUAGGCAUUUGAUGUAAAAAUGUAAGAAGAUCAGAGCCUGUUGAGAUUAAAAUCUGAGGAGCUAUUUUUAAAAAAAAAUCAAACCAUGACAUUCCAAGCCGUCACGAGUAAGAAAAAUCUCCAUAAAGAAUAAUAAUACGGGUUAAUAAUCAUAAUACAUCAUCUUAUAAUAUAACUAAUAAGUUAUAAAUUAUACAAUAUCAAUUAGAAGAUAAUUCAUAUAAAAUUAAUAACAUCCAAUUUGCAUAUGUAGCAGUAAUUAUCUCAAACCCUCGGUCUAUGAUUAAAAGUUUGCAUACAAUACUUCUAGUGGAUAUGCCUUCCACUCACACAACGCCUUGGGUUCUUGCAACUUAUAAUUCAUUUGUCCAUGUCUAAAUCAAUCAAUGAAUCCUAAGAUCUCAUGAAUAGUCAAUAUAAUUGGGUCAUUGACCAUCUCAACAAUCAAUAGUCAAUAUAAUUGGAUCAUAGAUCCCAUCAUUAAAUAAUCAACAUAAUUAGAUCAUAGAUUCUCUCAACAAUCAUUACUCAACAUUAUAUACGCUUUCAUCAUUAUGAAAUAUUAAUAAAGUUCAAGGCUAAUCUGAUUUAUAAUCAUGUAUAAGUAUGUAUGAUAUUAUUUGCUUCCUCUUUAUAAUUCAAAUACAAUUGAACCAAUAAGAUUUUUUCAGUUGAAUGUGUCAGAAGAAACAUAACUGCACAUAUAAGAAUAAGUUUCUUAAUACAUUAAUUCUCAAUUAACAAUUUAUGGAGUCUUAGGGGUUAUAAUGUUACUUAUGAUAGAUGGAGAGUGCUAUCAUUUUCCUUGUUUUCACCUCCUCUCUUUUUCUCUCUUCCUCCUCUUCCAUCUUCUUUAGCCGCUAGAAUUCUAUGCGUAAAACAAGUUUCCCUCUAAUAUUCUCGUAAUAACUCAAUUCUUCAUUAAUACUAUUCUUAUUUUUAUUAAAGAUAAAGAUCUUUAGGUACUCUAAAAGUUUUAUUAAUUUUUUGAUAACAAUAAUCAACUUCUGAAUCCUAUCACAAAUCAAAUAUUUCAAUCAUAUCACCAUAAUAAUGGUGAUCACAAUAAUGGUAAUGAUGACAAUAUCAAUUUAUAUUAUUUUAUAAAGUUGAGAGAAUAAUACAAAUUAUAUAUGGAAACAAACAUAUAUACUGAUAAGGAUAGAACAAGAUAAACUAUAUACAAAUAAUAUCAUUCAAAAUCAAAUAAUAUAUUGACAUAUAUAAUUGAAUAAUGAUAACAAUGAUAAUCAUAACAAUAAGAAUAUAAUAACAAUAAAAUUAUGUUAUUAUUUUUAUCUUAACAUUGACAUAUCAUCUUAAGGUGAAUUGAUUAUAUCAUGUUACUUUUUUUAUCAUAGAUAAAAUAUUGAGUUUAAAAUCUGUUCAUUAUGAUAGUUAAGGGUGGAAAUAGGCCAGACCGCCUAUCAGGGGCCUAUUACCUGGCCUAUAACAGGCUAGGCCAGGCCAGACUUUUUUCAUUAACAAGCCAGACUUAGACUUUCUAAAAAGCAUAUUUAGCUUAAUAGGUCAGGCUUUAGGCCACCUAAAAGGCCUAUUAAGUCUAACAGACCGGCCUAUUUAGUUAUAUUAUAUAUGAAUAUUGAAUUUAUACUAUUUUAAUAUAAAUAAUAUUAUUAUAUAUGUAAUAUUAAUAUAAAAAUGUAUACAAAAAUAUAAUUUAAUUAUUAGAAUUAGAUGGGUCUAACUAAAAGUAGACAUAUAAACCCAUUUAAAUGUAGACAUAGUAGCCUAUUUCAUGACCAUAUAGUAUAAUAGGCUUUUAAACAGGCUAGGCCAGACUUUUAAACAGGUCAAGCUCAGACUUUGAUUUUUUUUAAACAGGCUAACAGGCCAGGCCCAGACUCCUAUAUGCUAUAUAGGCUGGGCCUGUUUAAGGCAAAGCCUGGUCUGGCCUGACCUGUUUCCACCCUUAAUGAUAGUAUAAAGUUUUUUGCACCGUUAGUGCAUCAUUGACCUUUGAUUUGUAUUAUUUUUAUCAUAGAUAAAAUAUUAAUUGAGUUUAAUUAUAGUUAAUGAUGAAUGAAUUGCUGACAGUAUAAAAAACAUUUACAUUAUUAAUAUAUAAUAUUAAAUUCAUAUUAAUUUGUGAAGAUAUAAUAAUUUUUGGAAUGUUAGAGGUUCAUUUCCAACUUCAUUAUACCGGAGGUAUAUUUUAUUUUAUUUUUUAAAAUUUCAAGACACUUGUAUACGUCAAACAAAGCAUUAUCCAAUGUAAAUUAAUCAAACUACAUUAUUCGAUGAAUAUCAUGCAGGUGGGAACAAAUCUUAAUAUAACAUGAAUUUCAUGCAAAGAAAAUACAAUAUCUCCCUUAUUAUCUAGGUCUAUGAGCACCAUAAAUUUUCUUAGUUUGAGACUAUAGGAUGAUGUUGUAACAAUCAAGAAGAAAUUGUAGUUUUUGAUAUGACAUCGAAGGAAAUUCCAUUUCUUUGAAGUCUCUGUUGUAGAUCAGUAGGACCAAAUAUAAUCCCUGGAGGGUAAGUUCCUCCCUUUGGUAGGUUAUUGCGUUGGCUGAGAACAAUGAGAGCACACUGAAUAAGGAUUAUUGAAGUGGUUCGAUAUCCAACUUCAGGUCCCUUUAUUCUUGUUACAAUUUCCAUGUCAGGUUUUGUGUUUUUCUGUGUAGCAAUAAUGUUAUUACUAAAACCAUGUCCAACAAACCAUAUAUUGAAAGAACCAUUUUUCACUUCCUCUUCAGAAGGGCCCUUUUUACUGAACAAACCAAGGCUAAAGAUCAAAGGAAAUUUCAAAAGAAACCACCUUCCUAAUGCAAUACUUCCAAGAAUGCCAAUGCAAAUUCCAACAAUGAUGAGUCUGUAAAUGCCCAAUAAAGAUUUUGAACCUAAUUUGACACCAAAAUGAGCUGGUUUCACAGAUGACCAGAAUGCUUCCCUUUUCUCAACAAUCUCAGCAUGUUCAUUCAAGCCAGGGAUACCAUAAGGGUUUUCUGUUAGAUGAGAAAGUGUUCUUCGAACAACAAUUGAAUCUGCUGAAGGUAACCUUACAGCCCAAAGGCCAAAUUCCUUCUUAUUUUCUAUAGUUUCUCCUCUUGAAGGAGGAGGCCCAGGAAUCUACAAACAUGAAAUAACAAGUCAAGAAAAUGACAUAAUAUUAAAGAUAAUAAUAAAAAAUGCGGUCAAUACAUCUAAUAGCGGAUUCAAGACGGGGCUAGGGGAUGCAAGUGAGAUUGUGUGCAAUAUUAUUUAAUUGAUUUGAAUUGCUCAUUCAAUUAUCUAUGAACUAAAAGUAGUGAUAUUUUGUAUCCUGACAUUUGGAGGCAAUCCUGUUUGAGCCGGAAACAUCCACAAGUACGUGGGCUAAUUCUCCCAACAGACAUUUUUUCUAUCUAUAAGACUCGAACUCAGGUUUUUACUUAAGAAGACUCAAACAUGUACCAUUGGUGUGUAACAUAAUCUAAAACUGCAAUGUUACUGUUAUGUACCUUAAUCUAAAACUGCAAUAUUACUAUGAUGACCUUAAUCUAAAACCCGAAACAUAAACAUAGCAAUCAAAAUGAAGCAAACAAAUUGAAAUCCAAAAAAUAUAUCUCUUACCACAGGCCUAGCUCUUCUGGGUCUGGACUUUCUCAGUUCUUGCAACUUGUCGGCGUUAGCAACACCGAGAAUGGCGGACUCAUAGGUCCCAUAGUUACCCACACAGCUCCACUCAGACCCGGUACUCACAAACGCCUCCACCCGAUUCGGCACCGCCGGACUCACCCACUGCCGUGAGUUGAACAUGAACCCUAGCUCCGCUGGAAUCGAAUCAAACCCACAAGCCGAAACCACCAGCGAACCGGUUUCCACAGCCCUGUUAUGAUACUUGGCCUCCAUUCGCUCCAUGAAUUCCGGCUCUCCGCAAAUAUCCAAAUAGUUGCAGCCGGUGUCAGCACAUGCGGCGACGACAGGCUCGCCGUAGAGGCGGAAGGGGCCGACACAGUUGAUGAUGAGGGAAGUCUGGACGCAGAGGGCGCGGAGGGAUGAGGGGUCGGUGGUGUCAGCCGUGAGAAUGGGGAUAGAAGGUGGAGGGUUGGGUCGAGCAACCCAUUCGAGUGUUUGGGUGAGUUUCGUUGCGUUGCGGCCUGCUACGGCUAUAGAUUUGAGUGGGGAAGAUGGGUUGUUGAGGAAUUUGAGAGCUUCUUUCACAACAUAUUUACCAGUGAAACCUGAGGCACCAAGGAUUAUCAGAUCAAAACGAUGGAAUUUCGGACUCUGUUGGUCUUGGUUUGAUGCCAUGGAGUUUUGCACGUUGGAAUGGAUAUCUUGCACUUGCUGUGAUGAAAAUGGCUUUCAUUGUUAUGUACUACGUCCAAUAUAUUAUGGAAGGAUUUAAUAUUUAAUUAUUUUUCACGUUGUUAGGUUACUAUUGAUUUAUUAAUUAUAAUUGAAUUUUUCUAAUAAAAUGAAUACAAAUUAAUAGUAAAUAAUAUAUUGACAGUAUAAAAAUUGUAUACAGUCCUACACAGAUUUUAAAUUCAUUAUCUAAUGGUAACUUUGAAUUAGAAAUUUUUUAUGACUAAUAUUCUAUAUAAGUCUAACUUCUAGACAAUCCACCAUUUUAUAGAAAUUGUACCUAAUUACUUAAUAAAAAGACUGAGAAUAGAGUAACAAAUGAGUGAUAAUUUAUGUAUUAUUUUUUUUAUAAUAUAUUUAAAAGAAUGAAUUACUCGAGUUUUAGUGAAAUUACAGAAAUCAUUCAAACCUACACAAACCACCCCUAAUUAUAAAUAUAUGUUACACUAACUACUUCUGUAAGAUAGAUAAAUGUAAUUUAUUGAAUAAAAAAUAUUGACGGAUGUAAUUAAAUCAAACAAAAUAUGAUAUAUUGUAAAGACAAAUUGAAAUAAGACACAUACCAGGUAAUGAAUGAGUGAAUUAAAGGAAAUAAAUUAUUCCAUGAUAUAAAUAGAUAUUUUAUUCUUUUAGAUUUUAUUUCCAAAAAAAAAAUGUUUCCAUAUUUCGAACAAACUCAUCUCUAGUAUUGGAGAAAGAAAUUGUUGAUUUUACUCUUGAUUGAAAGGAGAGAAGCAUUAUAUAAUUAUGUUUAAAGGGUAGAAGUGCACAUGACAUUAUUUUUUCCUUUGAUUUUGAUGUAGUUCACUCUCUAGUGUUUGAGGGGAGCAUAUAUUGUCUGACAGUUUGUUUCAUUUUAUGAGUCAUUAGUUGUCAUUGAUUGAAGAAAAUAUAUUUAAGUUAAAAAUUUAAUUAUUAAAUAUUUUUCUAUUCAAUCGCAAUUAGUGACACAUGGAGUGACACAAGUUGUAGGAUAGAAGAUGUAUUCUCGUACCGGAGAGGAUCCUCACUCUUAUCCUUAGCUAGUCAAACUUAACAAAAUAAUAUAAAAAUAUUAAUUUAUGUUUUUAUAAUUUUUUCCUUAAAUAAGUGUCAUUUUUUUAUUGAACGAGAUAUAAAGUGAGACAAAAAUGACGACAUGUGAUCUCCAUUCAUAACCACAAUUCAUUAUGCCAUUUUUAAGAGCUAAGAUGUCUAUGAAGAAGGAGAUGUGAUUAUCUCUUGUACUAGUAUUAGAAAUUUAAGCAACCACAAAAUAUAGUUCGAUUCAGUUCACUUAUUUUUUAAGCAACCAUUUAUGUUCAGUUUGGUUUAUGAUUUUAGAAAUUUAGGAACUGUUAGAAUCGAUCUGAACUACAUAUUAAAGAAAUAGAUACUAAAGAAUGAUGUUUGAUUUUUAUUUAAAUUAUUUAACAUUGUAGUUUAAAUUAUUAAUUUUGUGUGAAAUAUAAUAUUAUAUAUUACUAAAUUAUUAUUAUCUUAGUAUUAUAUAUGUUAUUACUUAGUAAAUUGUUUCAUAGUGUUUUAUGAUUUGGAACAUAUCUUCCAACUUUUAUGGUAUUGAGUUACAAACUAACAUAUAUAAUAUAUUGUUAUAUGUGUUACUAAUUGUGAAUUGUGAAAGUUAUAUAUAACUAUUAUAUAUUUUAUUAAUUUGUAUAUAUGUUAUUAAUCAUGAAUUGUAUUGUUAUAUAUUUACUAAUAAACAUAUAUUAUUAAUUGUGGAUUAUAUUAUUAUAUAUGUGAUAAUUAAUUUUUUAUCUAUAAAUUAUAUAAUUGUUAUAUAUUACUAAUGGACAAUUAUCAGUUUCAAUAUUUUUACUCUACAUAUGAUUUAUAAUGUUUUAUAAUAUUGUAGUAGUGUUUUUUAUUUUAUGGACAAAUAAUAUUUCUUGUAAUACAUUUUGAACUUUCAAUUGAUGUAAUAUUUUAUAUAAGAAAUAAUAGGAAAAAUUGUGGAACUGAACUAUUCAAAAGUGGCUCAAUUUAAUUUUUACAGUUAAAUUUGUGGUUAGUUUAAAAAACCGAACCAUAUUUUUUUUUUCAAUUCAAUCACUGAAAUAACUAAAAACCAAACUGAAUUGAAAUUUUAUACUCCUACAUAUAUGUUUAGUAUUUAGUAGCAUAAUAGUUGAGUGUAUUAAAAUUUUCUAUAUUAACUAAUAUGUAUCAUUUCCAAUGUUAUGAAUCAGAAAUAGAUAACUCAUUAACAUAAUAAGACAGCUUUUACUAAUAAAUAUCAAAUCUUUUAAUGAUAUGAUUGGUUUUUAAUAGUAAGAAAGUAAAUGAUAUAAAUUAGUAGGAAUAAAAUGUUUUUAUUUAUAGAUAUGAGACGACAUGUACACUGGCCACAGCUCAAAAUCAAUAUUACAUAGAAAAAAGAGGGCAAAAGUUAAUUUAUAUUAGGGAUGUAAUCACUUUCAGUUUAAAUUGCGAAAUUAAUAGAAUCAAAUUGAACCAAACCGCAAAAUAUGUUUGGUUUGGUUUCGUGGUUCGAUUUUUUUAAAGAACCAUACAUGUUUGGUUCGAUUUAUGGUUUUAGAAAAUAUCCAUAAAAAUACUUUGUUUAAAUCAAAACCAAGGAUAUAUCAACAUCAAUCCACGUCCUUUUAUUGUAAAAAUAUAGGUCAUACACCUAAUUCAUGCUAUAUUAGGAAAGUUGGUAUCCCAACUAGCUAAUAUGUUUGGGUUGAGAAAGAUGUUAACCCCAAAGGACCCAAAUCACAUUGGGUACCUAGAAUAUUAUUUUAAUUUGUUUUGUAGGAGUGUCUGAAAGCCAUAAGUAAAAUGUGGUAUCAUGAAAGCGACUGUUCAAGGCACAUCACACGAGACAGUUCAAGUAAAUAAAGGAUGGAAUCUUUGUGAAUCAGUCCAAGUAAUGCAAAGAUUUACUCAAAAGAUUUGAGAUGGACGAAUGAAAAGCAAUUGCUUCUCCUAUGGGAUCAAAUAUCCAUGUUGACACAGAUGAAGCUGGAAAAUGCAUUGAUAUAACAAAGUAUCAAGGUAUGAGUAGUUAUGUUCUAUAUCUUACUACAAGUAGUCCUGAUGUUUUGUUUAGUGUUUGUCUAUUUGGUAGAUACCAGUCCAAACCUAAAGAGUCACGUCUAGUUGCAAUAAAAAGAAUUAUGAAAUAUCUAAAAAGAACAACUGACAUAGGACUAUGGUAUCCUAAGGGAAGUAUAAUGAUUUGGUUGGAUACUCGUAAUCAGGUUUUGCUGGAUGCAAAACUGAGAGGAAGAGUACUAGUAGAACAUGUCUCAUUCUAGGAAAUACCUUAUUCUCCUAGCCAUGUAAGAAACAUGCAUGUGUUGCUUUAAGUAAUAUGAAGACAUAAUACGUAACAACAUUUAAUUGUUGUGCAUAGGUGUUGUGGUUCAAACACCAAUUACAUGAUUACAGUCUAGACCUAAGUUACGUUCCCUUGAAGUGUGAUAACACGAUUGCUAUCAGCCUCACUAGGAAUCCAAUAAUACAUUCUCAAUAUAAACACAUAUAUAUAAGGUAUCACUUCCUUAGGGGCUAUGUUCAAAAGAAAGAUGUGUAGUUAGAGUUUGUUGACACUCAUGAUCAACUAGCAUACAUAUUCACUAAUCCCAUAGCAAUAGAACCUUUUCAUAAAAUUUAGAAGAGAAUUAAGCAUAUUAGAUGAAGCAGACCUAAGUUAAAUCAUUUUUCAUGUUUAUGUGUUUACAUGUUUGCUUCAUUAUAGUAUAUGUAUUCCAACUUGUCUAUUUAUGUGUUUAAAUCAUGAAAUUUCAAUUUUUUGUUGGUAUGUAACCAAUCAACCUCCAAGUAUUAAGGUAUCUUAAAUCUGAAAAUCUUGGGGAAGUAAUUGUUUACUCUAAGGGAGUAACCAAUUACCCGAUGAAAUCAUCUGGAAAAUCGGGGUUUUCUUUGAAUGAGUAAUCUCUUACUCUACUAGAGUAACUGAUUAAUAUGGCCAUCCUUUAUGUAGGAUUCUUCAAAAAAAUAUUUCCAGAACUUCAUCUUCUUCAUCUUCCUAAUCCGUGUGUCUCAUCCCCAAAACUUAGGAUCUUCAUUUCUUGACCGAUUUCAUUAAAAAAUUGUGGCUAAACACACUACAUUUUCAAUUCUAAAUACUUUCCAAUCACAAAUUUCAGUUUUUAUGCCUCAAAUCAAGAAUCCUCAAUUUCCAAACUUCCUUAGGCAACAAUAUCUUCGAGAUUUAUGUUUAGAACAAAAUGCCUAUUACCCUAAAUUAGUGAGUGUAAUUUAAUAUGUAACGCCCCGAAAAAUACUUCUCAAAAACAUUGCGGAAAAAUGGGUAAAUUUUUUUUUUUUUUUGAAUAAAGNNNNNNNNNNNNNNNNNNNNNNNNNNNNNNNNNNNNNNNNNNNNNNNNNNNNNNNNNNNNNNNNNNNNNNNNNNNNNNNNNNNNNNNNNNNNNNNNNNNNACCAAAAUUUACCACAAAAUAGGAAAUAAUAUUUCAAGACUAAAACUCAACUAGAGUUUCGUCUAAUUCUUUACCGAAAAUUCCCAGAAAUUCAUUUUCGAAUAUAUAAUUAAUGAAAAUAUUAGUAAAAUCUUAUAUUUCAAAAUCGUAAAAUUCGCGGUGUUACAUAAUACAUUCUGAAAGUAAAAAAGAAAAAAAACUUUUUUCCUUUGUUAAGGGAAAAGAAAUAGUCAUGGACUUGAAAACGUUUUGUUCAGUAAAAUACCAUACACUAGCACCAGAGUUGGCUUUGGACUUCAUUUUCAAUUAGAGGAAUUUGAUAGAAAUAAAUUCUACUACUCUUUGUGUAGAUUUCCUCAAGAGGAAAUUGUGAGAAAAAAGAAAAAUGUAGUGGUCGAAUUAGUUAAGAUUCGAGAUAUCCUAUUUGUUGGAAAUUUGAUCCUGAUCAUUUGUUGCAUUACUUUUUAUGUUAUGUUGUACUUCCCAAACCUCCCAAUUAUUCUCAAAUCAAUGAUAUAAAAUACAAAUCUUGUAUGCCCUGAAAAAUAAUAAACCUAUAAAUAGGGCAUUCAUGGUUAUGCGACACAUGUGGUCUCUUAAGGACAAAAAUGGUUCACUACCUUAUGCUAUUGCAGUCACUACCAUACUUGAGCACUUUAGAAUAUCUAGUGUUGCAUAAUCCAAAAUGGAGUUAGAUGCUCGUGAUAGCAAAAUCGAUCUAGAUGUGAUCCAAAAAAAUGGACUUUUUUCAAGACUCGAUCAAUCUACAGUUCAAGCAUCAAAUUGAUUGUCCUGCUACACUUUCAGAUACCCCUGCUACUUCACAACCUGACCCUCAACCCUCUCAAUGUCAAUUUGAUCCUUCAUAAUCUUCUAACGAGCCUACCAAUCACAUGAUUGUGGACGAGUUGGUGAAUCUUCGAGGCUACAUCACUAUCAAGAUGAAUGCUUUUGAUGCUCAGAUCCAACAAGUUCAUGAUGAACUCAAAUGCUUAUCUAACCAAUUGGACUAUAUGGACAUUGAUGAAGAUGAUGAGCAGGAGAACUCUUAGUCUUAGGGUUGUGUGUUUGUUUUGAGUUGUAACUUUCAUGUUGUUAUACGUUUUGUCUUUAUGACUUUUUUGUUGUAAGUUGUUUGACAAUUUAUGGCCAUGUAUGAACAUGUUUUCUAUUGUAAUGUUUAUAUCAUUUGUAUUAUUAGUCUAUAUCAAUUGAUUAGCAUAUAUUUUUGUAUUGUACAUGAGAUCUAACCUUGGUACAUAAACAUAUAUAAAUUAAAUCCAUGUUAUUUCUAUUUAUUUUGACUAUGGAAAACUUGGUUUUUUCAUGAAGUCAAUAGGGGGAGAAAUUUUGGAGUUUUGUUUUCUGGAUGUAAUCUUUCAGGGAAAUAAACUCCAAAACAAAGGAAAGCAUACAAGAUAGGGGAGCACACACAAUCUAAAAGCUUACACAUUAAGAAACCUGUAUGCAAAUCAAUAAAACUCAAUGUUAACACGAUAUCAGUUUGUCAUCAUCAAAAAGAGGGAGAUUGUGAAGAAGAUCUUGCUUCUAACCUUGCCUUAGUUUUGGUGAAGACACUAACAUCACAAAAAGAAGUAAAAUGAUUGAAGGUCUUGAAGACAUUUAGUUUCUAAGAUAUAUACUUCUUUCAGAAAGUGUUAUUACUUUAAGUAUUACCAAAUGCUCAUAGGAAAUGUUUUUAAAAAAAUAUCAAACUUGGUUUAAAAGACGGACUUAAAUUUCAAAAAGAUGCUUAACAAGUUGCUCGAACUGAGUAAUGAGUUACUAUGCUAGAGUAGCCGAUUACCCAAACAGAGUAACAUGUUACCAAUAAAAAAUAACAAAGAGUAACUGAUUACUCAAUCAAGUAGUCGAUUACUCAACGUGACAUAUGCUUUUGGUAACUGAUUACACCCCUCGAGUAUUUGGUUACUCAUAGUUGUUACAAUAGUUUUUAUAUUCAAACUAAAACAGCUUCUCCCAAAACGAAUGAAUGACACAUCAAUCGAUUCCUACCUUUUAGUAUAGCUAUGUUGGUUGGUUGGAAGCCUAUUUAAAGGCUUUAAGCAUUUACUUUUGAAAUCGAUCAACCACACUACAUUUUCUACAAUCUUUCAUACGCUUUAGCAAACAACUUGAUCAAACUUUCUAAUUUCUCUAAAAAGUUGUUUUUAGUGUUUUCUUCCAAUUUUUAUGAACUUAUAAGCACUUGAGCAUUUGUGUAUUACUUCUAGUGAUUGAAAUACAAGAAUUGAGUGUUGAGUUGUUCACAAUCUUAGCAAUCCUAGCCCUAGAUUCAGAGUUCUUCCUAUACCACUUUUCUGUAUAUUUCACCAUAAGGUGUGGUCAAAGAGAAAGAGUGAUAUCUACAAGUGGCGUGUUUCUAAAUAGUGAGAUUUGGUAAGUCUAAUCGGUGACAAAUUCUCAGGGUGAGAUUUUUAACGAUUAACAUUUCAUCACCUUAAAAAUCUCUUGUAGUCGCAAGAGGACUGAACAUAGCUUUUAGUGGACUAGAAGGUGAACCAAGAUAAAUUUCAGUGUUUCUCUUUUCCAUACACUCUUUUUUAUUUUUGUACUUGACUUUUGGAUAACAUAUUAUUCCGUUGCACCUCUAUUCCUACACUUUUCUUAAGUUGUAAAAAUUUGCAUCAAGUGUAGAAAAAUCAUAAAACUAAUCUCUUCCCCUUAGUUUGUCAUCUUAACUUACACUUUGUGUAAACAAGUCUUGGUAUGAGGCUUGGAUUAGCAUUUGAUUAGUGAAACAUCAAAUCUCUGUAAUCUGAACAAAUAGAUCUAUAUAUCCCUUAUUCUGAAGAAAGUCAACCAAUAUAUACCGCUUAUGUGAAUUCUGUAUAUUCCUUAUUCUUUAUUUUAUGCACAUAUAGAUCUUCAUUUACACUCUCGUUUGAAUAUUCUCAAUUAACAUUUUUUAAAGCACAAUAUUGUUGCCAACCUAAUUCUCCCCCUUUUACAUUGUUAGAUAGUGUAUAUAUUAACUCCUCUCUUCUACACCGAAGAACAACCAUAUAUAUAUAUAUAUCGAUAGCUCCACCUUUCUUAAAUCUUUGACUUUAAAUAAAAUAUUAAUAAGUUUGACUGAGCAAUGGCUAUACAUCAUGUGAAGGUUAUAUUUACAAUAUUAUAUUAUUUUGAACGCCUCCCUUUUAAUGUAAGAUGGUUAAAGAAUUUGGUAUAAUAUGCUUAUCACUAUUGUGUACCAAGCCACCAAGUCAAUAGAAGAAAUGAGAAUCGUUUGGAAGAAAAGAAAAUCAAAAUUCACUAAGUUAUACAUUCCCUAAUACACUCACGGGUGGACAUUGGAACAAAGAGACAAAUAAAAAAAAUGCAGAGAAAAUGUCGGUCUUGGUAAAUUUGUAAUACUUUCAACGUGCAGAAAUUAUUUUAUAUUCAGAACUAAUGAUGCAAAUCACUUCUUUAUUAUUAAUUUAAACUAAGUUGAUUUGAUUAUAAGAAUUUAAUUGAGAUUAAUGAUCUCAUGCUUUAAAAUAAGGCAAAAUAGAUAACUUCCAAUUCCCACAACUAACACACAUUUACUAGGUAGCACAUAUAUGUUCUUGGCCUCUUAAACUUGCAAGAGGACGUUAUUAACUUAUUCCAUGCAAUUCCUGUAAAGGCAGAAGAAACAGUUAGAGUCACAUGGGCUAUCAUAAUAUCAUGCAAAAGAUAAACAUUUUUCUUCCCAACCUAAAUCUUCUUACAAAUCUUCGUAUAAGUAACAUGUUGAUAAAAUAAUAUUUUAUUUAUUAACUUCUAUUUGCGAGUUAGUGUUAGAGGGAAAGAAAAUAAAAUGAAGAAUUUAAUAGUCAUCUCAGAAGUAUAUUUUAUAGUUUCAAAUUUUUUUCCUUCCUUUCAUUGUCCUAUUCUAACCAACUUGCAAAGAGAUCAAUUUGCAAGCCAAAUUUUGGAAAGAAAUGACCCAAAAAGUGAAUGAUUCAAAGUAAAUAUUAAAUUGAAUUAACGCUAUUUUAGGAAUGAGUAGUGUUAUAUGUAAAGUUCAUACAUUAAAACUUCUUUCAUAAUAAAUCAAAUUAUCUUUACAAAAUUAUAUUCAACGAUUUUUACUAGAGCUUAUUAGCUUUAUUCCUAGUUCUAUUGUGUAUUUGUGUUGAACAAGAAUCGCAAAACAUGUCCCAAAUCUUGUCUCACAAUAAUAAAAAUAUAUCAUGUUAAUUAUAAAAAUCAAAUAUUUAUUGUUUUUUUUUAUUUUGAGUUUAUUGUUAUUGAUUUGGUAUAUGUAUGAGAAAUGGUUUGGGAUAUUCUUUUUGUGUGUCGCACAGCAAAGUUAACUUUAAAAUUAUGCAUGCUACCUUUUAUAUAUUAAUCUGCAGAGCACUUAAAUCCUUCUGGUGGGGUCUUGCCACAAUCAAGGAGAAGCUGAAGAGCGAUAGGGAGAAAGAUGUUGAUGUUAAGCAAUUUGGCCCUAAUAGUAGUGCAUAGACACACAGCAGCAUCCAAAUCCACGAGCCCUUGAAGCAAUGGACAACAUGUUUGUGUAGCACUUCCACCAAUUCCAAUGUGUAUAAGGCCACCAAGAAUAUCCACACAUGCACCUAGCUUCAAUGUGUCAAUAGGGCAUGUUCCUUGUACUGGUGGUGCCGGUGAUGGUGGUGGUGGAGGACAAGGCGUUUCACUAGGCGGUGUAACCACUGGGGGUGUUGGUGAAGGUGGUGUCACAGUAGGAGGUGGUUUAGGUACGUAGGGAGGUGAUAUGAUAGGUGGUGUAGGUAUAACCGGUGGUAAGGGGACAAAAGGAGGAGGAGGAUACACAAUGGGUGGUUUCACCACCGGUGGCUUAGGCACAUUUGGUGGUGUCACUGGUGGUUUUGGUACAUAAGGUGGUGUCACCACUGGUGGCUUAGGAAUAUAGGGUGGUGUUACAGGCACCACUGGUGGCUUAGGAACAUAGGGUGGUGUAACUGGUGGCUUAGGAACAUAGGGUGGUGUAACUGGUGCCACUGGAGGCUUAGGAACAUAGGGUGGUGUUACUGGCACCACCGGUGGCUUAGGAACAUAGGG
This 42397-nucleotide long non-coding RNA is filed under the name Lupinus angustifolius (narrow-leaved blue lupine). RNAcentral's name for it is "long non-coding RNA (LANG_LNC001492)". The record is from RNAcentral. Lineage: Eukaryota; Viridiplantae; Streptophyta; Magnoliopsida; Fabales; Fabaceae.